CAUGAUCCAGUUCUCCAUCAACCUGGGUUGUGGGUCAUAUCAGCCUGCUAACAGUGUUAGCCUAGAAUUUUCCACCAAUAGUGGUCGCAUCUGGUCCCUGCUACACACUGAAUGUCUUCCAGAACUCUGCACAGGUGUACACCUCCCUCACAGCACUGUGUAUUCGUCUGAUAACUACAGUGGAUGGAGCAGAAUUACCAUCCCCUUGCCUAAUGCGCCACUAACAGGCAGUAC
Molecule: long non-coding RNA, 234 nt
Organism: Polypterus senegalus (gray bichir)
Lineage: Eukaryota; Metazoa; Chordata; Cladistia; Polypteriformes; Polypteridae
Exons: 3
Source: RefSeq, a predicted model, not a curated record